UACGGAGGAUGCAAGCGUUAUCCGGAAUGAUUGGGCGUAAAGCGUCCGUAGGUGGUUAUGUAAGUCUGUGGUUAAAGCGUGGGGCUCAACCCCAUAAAGGCCAUGGAAACUACAAGACUUGAGUGAAGUAGGGGUAGAGGGAAUUCCCAGUGUAGCGGUGAAAUGCGUAGAGAUUGGGAAGAACACCGGUGGCGAAAGCGCUCUACUGGACUUAAACUGACACUGAGGGACGAAAGCUAGGGGAGCGAAAGGG
RNAcentral lists this ribosomal RNA (253 nucleotides) under uncultured bacterium. Its description in RNAcentral is "partial 16S ribosomal RNA". It matches the Rfam family "Bacterial small subunit ribosomal RNA", at positions 524 to 776 of the family's 1533-position model. The record is from RNAcentral.